This 430-nucleotide ribosomal RNA is filed under the name uncultured bacterium. RNAcentral describes it as "bacterial SSU rRNA". It matches the Rfam family "Bacterial small subunit ribosomal RNA", at positions 42 to 475 of the family's 1533-position model. The record is from RNAcentral.
UCAGGCCUAACACAUGCAAGUCGAACGGCAGCACGGGAGCAAUCCUGGUGGCGAGUGGCGAACGGGUGAGUAAUACAUCGGAACGUGCCCAGUAGUGGGGGAUAGCCCGGCGAAAGCCGGAUUAAUACCGCAUACGACCUACGGGUGAAAGCGGGGGACCGCAAGGCCUCGCGCUAUUGGAGCGGCCGAUGUCAGAUUAGCUAGUUGGUGGGGUAAAGGCCUACCAAGGCGACGAUCUGUAGCUGGUCUGAGAGGACGACCAGCCACACUGGGACUGAGACACGGCCCAGACUCCUACGGGAGGCAGCAGUGGGGAAUUUUGGACAAUGGGGGCAACCCUGAUCCAGCCAUGCCGCGUGCGGGAAGAAGGCCUUCGGGUUGUAAACCGCUUUGUCGGGGAAGAAACGGUCUGCGCUAAUACCGCGGACUA